Molecule: ribosomal RNA, 496 nt
Filed under: uncultured bacterium
Lineage: Bacteria
Description: partial 16S ribosomal RNA
Rfam family: Bacterial small subunit ribosomal RNA
Source: RNAcentral
AUGCACGCUGGCGGCGUGCCUCAUCCCUGCCUGUCGCGCGCACAGACGAGGAGCUUGCUCCUCUGACGUUAGCGGCGGACGGGGGAGUAACACGUGGAUAACCUACCUAUAAGACUGGGAUAACUUCGGGAAACCGGAGCUAAUACCGGAUAAUAUAUUGAACCGCAUGGUUCAAUAGUGAAAGACGGUUUUGCUGUCACUUAUAGAUGGAUCCGCGCCGCAUUAGCUAGUUGGUAAGGUAACGGCUUACCAAGGCAACGAUGCGUAGCCGACCUGAGAGGGUGAUCGGCCACACUGGAACUGAGACACGGUCCAGACUCCUACGGGAGGCAGCAGUAGGGAAUCUUCCGCAAUGGGCGAAAGCUUGACGGAGCAACGCCGCGUGAGUGAUGAAGGUCUUCGGAUCGUAAAACUCUGUUAUUAGGGAAGAACAAAUGUGUAAGUAACUAUGCACGUCUUGACGGUACCUAAUCAGAAAGCCACGGCUAACUACGUG